RNAcentral lists this ribosomal RNA (794 nucleotides) under uncultured bacterium. RNAcentral's name for it is "bacterial SSU rRNA". It matches the Rfam family "Bacterial small subunit ribosomal RNA", at positions 8 to 796 of the family's 1533-position model. The record is from RNAcentral.
AGAGUUUGAUCCUGGCUCAGAAUGAACGCUGGCGGCGUGCCUAACACAUGCAAGUCGAAUGUGCCGCAAGGUGCAUGGCAGACGGGUGAGUAACGCGUAGGGAAUCUACCUUUUAGUGGGGAAUAACGCUCCGAAAGGAGUGGUAAUACCGCAUGAGACCGUAGUCUGGGAUGACUACGGUGAAACCUGGGGACCGCAAGGCCUGGGGCUAAAAGAGGAUCCUGCGUCUGAUUAGCUAGUUGGCGGGGUAAUGGCCCACCAAGGCGACGAUCAGUAGCCGGCCUGAGAGGGUGAUCGGCCACACUGGAACUGAGACACGGUCCAGACUCCUACGGGAGGCAGCAGUGGGGAAUUUUGCGCAAUGGACGAAAGUCUGACGCAGCAACGCCGCGUGGGUGAUGAAGGUCUUCGGACUGUAAAACCCUGUCGUCAGGGACGAAGGUUGGGGGGUUAAUAGCCCUUUAGCUUGACGGUACCUGGAGAGGAAGCCCCGGCUAACUCUGUGCCAGCAGCCGCGGUAAUACGGAGGGUGCAAGCGUUAUCCGGAUUUAUUGGGUUUAAAGGGUGCGUAGGCGGUGAAAUAAGUCAGUGGUGAAAAGCUGCAGCUCAACUGUAGUCCUGCCAUUGAAACUGUUUUACUUGAGUAACCAUGAGGUAGGCGGAAUGUGUAGUGUAGCGGUGAAAUGCUUAGAUAUUACACAGAACACCGAUUGCGUAGGCAGCUUACUAGAGGUUCACUGACGCUGAUGCACGAAAGCGUGGGGAUCAAACAGGAUUAGAUACCCUGGUAGUCC